RNAcentral lists this unclassified non-coding RNA (1784 nucleotides) under Hevea brasiliensis (rubber tree). The record is from RNAcentral. Lineage: Eukaryota; Viridiplantae; Streptophyta; Magnoliopsida; Malpighiales; Euphorbiaceae.
AAACUAUUCACAAUCUAGUUGGAUGUAUAAACCUCAUGUAUACACAAGCCUCAGACAACAGCAUAACUCUCCAUUAAACUGCUUCCUCUCGAACAGAUAACUUACCACACCAUAAUAAUUGUGACGUUACUGGAACACUAUGAAAAGCUUGUUUUACGAACCUCAUAUCUACUAUGGGUAUCAACCAUAAAGGAUAUCCACUGCAUGACUUUUCCUCUCGUUAUACGUAUGUGAUAACUUUUUGAACAGUCAUGCCUUGAGCAACCUUCAUCUAACAUAAUGGUUUAUAUAGUCUUGAAAGAAUCUAAGAAAACAGGCCAGCCAUUUUACAUCAUUGCCAAUUUGGUAGAAAAUAAAUAAAAGCACGCUUGAACCCGUAAAGCAGCAACAUUAUGCUUGAGCCAGGCCCUUUUUGACAAGCAUCUCAUACACUUUGUCAAUCUUAUUCGGAUCAACAUUGAAUAGACCAUGCGCAUCAGAUUUCUUGGUGAUGUUGCCAUUAAAGAUCCCCAUGGACAUGGUUUGCGACAUGUUUAGAUAAUGAGCCGGCAGGAUUCUCAUCUCAUCACAAAGCUUUUUUUCAGCUUCUGAGAGCAACUCAGCUCCUGAAAACCCACUGACAUCCCAAAUGUCUACAGCACUUCCAACACCAUGUGGUGCGGUGGUUGAUGAUAAGUCAUUGCAACAAUCCAUCAUUUCAGGGCCCCUACCAACUCCUCUGGGGCUGCUGUCAUGCUCCACUUUAAAGUGACCUGCUCUUUGCAAAUAUUUUCCACUUGGGCCACUCUGGGUGUUCUCCUUCAGUCUACGUAUAUUUUCUUCAGAUUCCCGCGCUCUCUUUUGUUCAACAUAUCUUUCUGCCUCAGCUAAAGUUCGGCAACCAGCAAUUCGGGCAUCCUGAAGAUCUCGUAUUCGUUUAACUAUUCGGUGCUCCUCGAUUAUGCUCCUAAGGAAAUCCUCAUGCUCCUCUUUAGAACUAAAACGCAUGAACACCCUGUAACGACGGCAUAUGUCCUUCUCCUCCGGGGUGAGGUCUUUCUCAAAAGGAUCAGGAUGAAGUAGUUUCCUUUCCAAAAUAAAAUCCUUCCUACGUUUCCUCUCAUCAAGCCUUUUAUUGUAUAUACGCAAUACCCGAAGUUUCAGUUCACGCUCAGCAUUGGUAUCUGUCUCUUUAAAUUCCAUAUCAGCCACCAUCUGCUCAGCAUCAUUAUCGUAUUCAAUUUCAAACUCCUCUCUCUUGGAAUUAUAACCACUUAAUUCUGUCAUGGAAGGCCCCUCGUCCACUGAUGACCUAGGCUUUUUCUCUCCGACACUCCUGUCUGCAGGACAACCUUCCACUUUGAUGCUAUCAUGAUUCUCCUUACUAUGAAGUAAGCUAGAUGUCCUCUUUCCAGCUCCUGCUAAUGUACCAGAAGCAGAACCUCCAACUGAGGCAAGUCCAGUUGAAUUUUCUUCCCUUUGAUCUUCCAUCUUGAUUCCUGCAGAGAAUGGAGACUCUUCUUUAACAUUAACUCCCCCGGGAGCUGCAUAUCCUUGAUCCUUGGCCAUGGCAAGAAGUUCCUCUCUGUUCUUUCCCAUAACAUGGGACAUGUCCGGAAGCGGAAAACAAGGAGAACUAAUAUAUGUGGACUUAUAGUGGUCAAUACACUGCUGUUUACUCUUUGUUCCAACAUGUUCGGCAACUUCAGCCCAGUUUGCCAAUCCGUACAUUUCCAAACCCUCUAGAAGUAACAUUUCCUCAUCAGCAUUCCAGUCAGCACAUAUGAGAGGAAAUGACAGGUUAU